UACAGAGGUUCCGAGCGUUGUUCGGAUUCACUGGGCGUAAAGGGUGCGUAGGUGGUGGGGUAAGUCGGAUGUGAAAUCUCGGAGCUCAACUCCGAAAUGGCAUUGGAAACUACCCUGCUGGAGGUUUGGAGGGGGGACUGGAAUACUUGGUGUAGCAGUGAAAUGCGUAGAUAUCAAGUGGAACACCAGUGGCGAAGGCGAGUCCCUGGACAAAACCUGACACUGAGGCACGAAAGCUAGGGGAGCAAACAGG
Molecule: ribosomal RNA, 253 nt
Filed under: uncultured bacterium
Lineage: Bacteria
Description: partial 16S ribosomal RNA
Rfam family: Bacterial small subunit ribosomal RNA
Source: RNAcentral